AUGGCGGAGACGGCGAUCACGACGGUGCUGGCGAAGGUGGCGGAGCUGGUGGCGUGGGAGGCGGCGGUGCUGCUGGAGGUGGGCGACGACGUGCGCCUGCUCCGCGACAAGCUCGAGUGGCUGCACACCUUCAUCCGCGACGCCGACCGCAGGCGCCGCCUCCGCGACGACGAGUUCGUCGCCGUCUGGGUGCGCCAGACCCGCGACGUCGCCUUCGAGGCCGAGGACGCGCUGGACGACUUCCUCCACCGCGCUGGGCGACGCCGGAGGCGCCGCGGCCCGGCCCCGCCGCUCCCCGGCACGGGGGCGCGCUGCUCCGGGUGGCGCUGGAGCUGGCGCCGCUGGCGGCCGCGCUGCGCGGGGCUGCAGGUCGCGCUCCGCCACGACCUCUCGGCGCGCGUCCGCCAGAUCAGGAAGCGGCUCGACGAGAUCUCCGCCAACCGCGCCGCCUACCACAUCGAGCACGCGGCCUCGCCCGCCUGGGCCGCCUCCUCCGCCACCACCCUCGCCGCCUGGGACGAUCUGGAAGAGUACACUGUCGGCUUCGGCAAGUACAGCGACAUGCUCAGGGAGCAGCUCCUCGACGUUGACACCGUCCCCGGCCGCGCCCUCGUCUCCAUCGUCGGCGAGAGCAGCAUCGGCAAGACCACGCUCGCGCGCAAGGUCUACCAGAGCCCCGAGGUCCGCAACCACUUCGCCAUACGCACCUGGACCGUGCUCCCUCCCAACAGCCGCCCGGCCGACGUGCUCCGCGACAUCCACCGGCAGGCCACCUCCCAGCUCCGCCGGUCCCCGUCCAACGGCCAGAACGCGGAGGACGGCGGCUGCGACGCCAAGGGCGGCAAGGACAUCAGCAACUCGCUGUUCCGGAACAUGACCGGCAGGCGGUACCUCGUCAUCGUGGACGGCAGCAUCGCGGUGGCCGACUGGAACAGCCUCCGGGCGUCGCUCCCCGACGAGGGCAACGGCAGCAGGGUGCUGCUGGUCACCGACGCGGCGGGGCUGGAGGUGGUGGGCUACGCCGGCGGGCCGACGUACGACCCCAUCGAGCUCACGCGGCUUAGCCCGGAGAACACAUACGAGCUGUUCCGGCGCCGGGUGUUCGGCCUCCGCGGUGACUGCCCCGGCCGGUACAAGUCGAGGUACUACCAGGACGUGUUCCGGAUCACCCGCGGCCUGCCGCUCUCCAUCGUCGUCCUCGCCGGCGUGCUCAGGUCCAAGGAGCUGCCUGCGGAGUGGGACCAGGUGAUGGCGCAGCUGCUGGCGGCCAAGGACCAGCCGCAGCAUUGCAAGAGCGGGAGCGGCGGUGCCCGGCGUAUCAUGUCGCUGGCGUUCGACGACCUGCCGCACCACCUCAAGUCAUGCUUCCUCUACUUCGCAGCGAUGCCAGAGAGCGCCCCCGUGGACGCGGCGAGGCUGGUGCGGCUGUGGGUGGCCGAGGGGUUCGUGCGGCCGCGGCGCGGGAGCACCAUGGAAGAGGUCGGGCAGGGGUACCUCAAGGAGCUCAUCUCCCGGUGCAUGGUGCAGCUGGUGGACAAGGACGAGUUCGGCACCGUGACGGCGGUGGUGGUGCACGACCGCCUCCACGCUUUCGCGCAGGAAGAGGCUCAGGAGGCGUGCUUCGUCGAGAGCCACGACAGCACCGACGUGCUCGCCCCAGCCACCGUGCGCCGCCUCGCCGUCCAGAACACCACGGACAGGCACGUCCACCUCGGCAACGCGCUGCCCAAGCUCCGCACCAUCGUCUGCGACUUCGCCAACGGCGGUGCGGCGAAGCCCAGCGUCUGCAUCCACUCCACCGACCUGGGCUUCCUCCACGCGUCCAAGUUCCUCCGCGUCAUCGACAUCCAUGGCCUCGAGCUCAAGAAGCUUCCGGACGAGCUCGGCUCGAUGAUCCACAUAAGGUACCUGGGCCUCCAGUGCGGGCAGCUGGAGAGGCUGCCGAGCACGAUAAGCAAGCUGGUGAACCUGCAGUCUCUGAUCCCCAAGGGCCGGAGCGGCGGCGUGCUGGGCGUGACCGCCGCGUUCUGGACGAUCCCGACGCUGCGGCACGUGGUGGCGCCGUUCGCGCUGCCCAGGUGCCUGGGCGACCUGUACAGCCUCCAGACGCUCCACGGCGUGCAGCCCCGCGGCUGGGACACGCGCGCCAUCGCCGGCAACCCGCUGGGGAGGGCCACCAACCUCCGGUCGCUGGAGCUGAGCGGGCUGACGGCCGCGAACGCCGGCGCGCUGGUGACGGCGCUGGAGAGCCUGGACCUGCUGGUGCACCUGGUGCUGCAGGGCGAGUCGCUGCCGCCGGCCGUGUUCACCGUGGCGAGCCUGCGGCGGCUGCAGAGCCUGAGGCUGGUGGGGGCCAUGGACGAGGAGGAUGAUGCCGAUGCCGGCGACGAGGUGGCGGUCCGGUACAUCCGGCCGAACCUGACGCGGCUGUCGAUGUGGGGCACGAUGGUGGGGCAGGGGUUCGUGGACAUGCUGGGGGAGCUGCCGAGCCUGGCGGAGCUGACGCUGAUGUGGGGCGCGUACGAGGGCGAGCGGCUGGAGUUCGGCGACGGCGCGUUCCGGAGCCUGCAGAAGCUGAGGCUGGGGCUGCCGGACCUGGAGGAGUGGGCGGUGAGCGCCGGGUCGAUGGCGGCGCUGGUCCGGCUGACGCUGCUGCGGUGCGCCAAGAUGGAGAUGCUCCCGGAGGCGCUGGGCGGGAUGAAGGAGCUGGAGGAGGUGGUGCUGUACAGCAUGCCCAAGAUGGUGGGGAGGAUCAAGGAGGACGGCGGCCAGGACCACCACAAGAUCAAGCACGUCCCCGUCAUCCAGACCAUCUGGUAG
RNAcentral lists this ribosomal RNA (2820 nucleotides) under Triticum aestivum (bread wheat). RNAcentral describes it as "partial small subunit ribosomal RNA". Lineage: Eukaryota; Viridiplantae; Streptophyta; Magnoliopsida; Poales; Poaceae. The record is from RNAcentral.